Chlorocebus sabaeus (green monkey) is the source of this 3212-nucleotide long non-coding RNA. RefSeq lists it as uncharacterized. NCBI's taxonomy places the organism in Eukaryota, Metazoa, Chordata, Mammalia, Primates, Cercopithecidae. The record is from RefSeq and is a predicted model, not a curated record.
GUCCCAAACUUGAACCUAGAGGAAUGUUACAGCUCUGAAAAAAAGUUAGGGAGCAGCCUUGCAAUUAAGCACUCAGUCACAACAAGAGGGUAAGAACGUUCAAGGCACUGGAUUGAAGAGACACAAAAGUCAGGAAAUGACCCUUUCGUCGGGAUUUCAGAGGCCACAGAGGAGAAACAAAGUCCUCUCACAACUUGGGAAACUUCGGACCGUACCAUCCCGAGGGGGCAGGGGUGGGGGCGGCCGGGAGAGGGCAGUGGAAAUUGACAUCUUCGCUCCCAACGAGCCGUGAGUAAACUGAGGAUUUCCCGGCUGAAAGGACUCAGUGUCUGCCUGUCCCCGGCCCAGAAAUGAAAGCGAGUUUCAGCCCAUCCUCAUUGUGGAGCCUGCUGAAAAAGCAGCCCGGGUCGCCCCGGCCAGCCCCGGCGUCCUGAAUCGGAGCCCUGUGCGCGCCAGGCCGGGCCGCGCGCCCGGGUUGCAGGAUGGCGUGCCCAGGCCAGCCCAUCUGCGGCCGCGGGCCGGCGGGGAGGAAGCGUCCCUGGGGAUGAAUGGGGCUUUGUUCGUAGGCAGCCGCGGCUACCCUCUGCAGGCCCAGCCCGCACAACAGAGGCUGUAUGCGACAGGAAUGGAAAUGAGCCUCAGGCCCUGCCCAAGGAGCCCCAUCCCCUUCCCCGCGCAGCGCUGAGGAAUGCUGGCCAGCCGGAAAGGAACCCUCGCUGGGAACGCCGCUCUCGCGCCUCUGAAACCCCAUUGAGAAGAACCCUUUGAUGCAAUUAAAGCGUAUUUCAUUGCAGGCCUGGGAGGAGGGAACGACCGGCAAGCUUUUUUCUGUCUCGGACGUGUGUGUGCACCUUUGUGGGCCGGGUUACUUCGGGAGCAGGCAGGAACUUGAGCUCCCUCUCUCGCAGACGUUCUGUAACAUCAGAAAAGCGUACCCAGAAACAGAUUGGUUUUCACUAGGGGUGGGACCCAAUCUGGACACCAUCCAGGCUGACCUGCAGGCCGGGGUUCCUACUUUGAAAGGCUCUUUGGUGCGCCUUACACCUACCUUCCCUGCUGUAAAGGUUUAGGCGGAAAAGAAAUUGCGUUUGCAGGAGGAAGUUGUUUCUGAGGUUACCGCUCAGCAUUUUCCAUUUUCUCAGUGGUGGGGUGGGCUGUGUCGCAUAUCCAGAAGUGAUGUCACAGCCAGACCUGCAAAGUGAUGUAACCUGCAAGUGUUGAAGGACGACGAGGGGACAGCUAUUUUGAUACUCGUAUUAUUUUAUAACAUUUCCCUACUUUUUCCAUUGAGACAACUGUGUGACCUCAGAAAAUCCACAUAGCCUCUCUGAGCUUAAUAUUUGUCGUAUGUUAAAGUGAAUAUCACAAAGCCAGACAACGAAUGUCAUGAAGUUCUGAGUGCUUGUGGAAUUCUUUCUAAGUUGGAGGUGGACACUUUAUAUACCUGCACACGUGGAAGAUAUGUGGGACUGGAGUAAACAAAAAGAUCCUAUUGGGACCUCUGUUUGGUUGCCUUUGUGUCACUUUUUACUAGGGCUAAUUGUCUAAUGUGUCUUUCCACUAGUGUAUGCCUCCUUGAGAACGUGAACCUUUAAACAACAACAGCAACAAAACAACAACAACAAACGAAGACAGAGCCUGCACGCUCUCCCAGGCUAGAGUGUAGUGUGCAAUCAUCGCAGCCUACAGUAUCCUGGCCUCAAGCUAUCCUGCCGCCCCACCUUGGCCUCCUGAAGGGCUCCAAUUACAGGAGGGAGCCACUGCACCCAGCCAAACCUGUCUUUUUUUCUGUAUCUCUUGUGCCCAGAGCAGUCCCUGGCCCUGAUAAGGGUUCAACAAAUAUGUCGAAUGAAUGAACGAAUACAUUCAGGAGUGUAGGGAUUGAUACUAACUUGCUGGCUGUUUUCUGUUCCUUAUAAAUCUAAAUAAGAAAUAGGGAGAGCAUAGUAGGUCUUUGGGGUCCUCGGGCGAGGCAUAAGUUCAGGAGAAGUUCGAAGGAAAGGGUUGGAAAACAUUUCUGAGAGCACAAACAUGCUACAAGUGUUUCCUGAAAUGACCCAAAGGAGAGCGCAGCACUCAGGUGGAGGAGUCACUUUUUCCAAAUAAAGAAAUUGAGACAGAAAAUUAGGCAAUUUUCUCACAAUACGUAAGAAGUGGUGCCAGGAAAGAAAUGGAAACCAGGCUGCUUGAAUCUGGAACUCAGAAUACUGUUUGAGAAGGUCCUCCUAAUACUCAACUGAUUUGGGAACCAUCGGGCCCAGUGAUCUCUGAUGCUCCUUCCAACUUGUAGGAUGUGAAUUCUUGUGUUUAGUUAUAUAAGAGAAGGGAGAGCAAGAUGGCCAAAUAGAAGCCUCCAGCAAUUAUACCCCCUACAGGAACAACAAAUUAAGCAACACAAACAAGAAAAUCACCUUCAUAAAAUUGAGAAAUCAGCUAGGAAUGACCAAGGCAAAACUUCCAUCUACUUGCAUCAGAAUGGAGACACAGAUGCGGAUGAUGAAUUAAAGGGACUCAAGGAAGGUCACUAUUCUGCCUUGAAUUUGUUUUCAUGGUUCUCCAAGAAGUGUCUAGAGAUGCGGAAGCUUCAAAGGAGUGUGGAAAGUGUCUGGAAGGAAAGGUGUGCACCUUGGAGCUUUCCUUGGAGUGUAUCAUUGAGCUCUUUGUGUUUGGGUGGUGGGUCUUUGGAAGGUAAGACUUCUGACCUCCGAAGGGGUGGAUCUCCAGAGAGUAGCCUGACUUCCUGAAGGGCAUCCUGGAGAGGCAAGGGUGAGGGAGGCAGAAACCAGAGUUCAUCUUGAUCCUCUAGGAACUUGACCUUGAAGCAGAGGGCUGAGCAGGGCUGAGUAUUUGAAUGGAAGAAGAGGUGCACUUUGAGUGUGGCACUGAGAUUCUAAGCAUAGAACACUGUUAUCUGCACUUAACACUGAAGAAUGAAAUCCACCUGCCUCAGCAAACCACAUAGGGUGAACAAGAUCUUGAAUUACAUAGAAGGUAACCAUACAUCCUGGUUUUCUGAAACAGUCCUGGCUAAUGUCUCUUGUCCUGGCAUAAUUAUUAACAGCAUUCCUUUUUAUUAUCAAAAGUGUCUCAAUUUGUACAAUAAAUUACUUGACCAUUUUGUGUAGGAUCAGUUUUCAAUAGUGACAUUAUGUGUUCUCACAAAGCAAUGGCAGUGGACCAAGGUGUCCCAGGUUGACUCCUGGCUGGUGUGA